Long non-coding RNA from Salarias fasciatus (jewelled blenny), 232 nucleotides. RefSeq lists it as uncharacterized. The transcript has 3 exons. NCBI's taxonomy places the organism in Eukaryota, Metazoa, Chordata, Actinopteri, Blenniiformes, Blenniidae. The record is from RefSeq and is a predicted model, not a curated record.
CUAUACCAUUUUAAAACCGAGCAAGACGGUUUUCACAUGGCUGAAGUGGGAAGGGUUAAUCGAAGUCAAACAAUUAGUGGGAAAUAAAGAGUUCAGUCAAUUGCGUCAAAUGAAGACGUUAAUUAAAAGAGAGCAGCGGAGCAUCUGAUCCAUAUGGAGGGAUGAAUAAUAUGACACCAAUGACAACAUGAUGCAAACACAGGCGACCCGCGCACAUGACCGCAAAUAAUCG